UACGUAGGGGGCAAGCGUUGUCCGGAAUCAUUGGGCGUAAAGCGCGUGUAGGCGGCCCGGUAAGUCCGCUGUGAAAGUCGGGGGCUCAACCCUCGAAUGCCGGUGGAUACUGUCGGGCUAGAGUACGGAAGAGGCGAGUGGAAUUCCUGGUGUAGCGGUGAAAUGCGCAGAUAUCAGGAGGAACACCAGUUGCGAAGGCAGCUCGCUGGGACGUUACUGACGCUGAGACGCGAAAGCGUGGGGAGCAAACAGG
Molecule: ribosomal RNA, 253 nt
Filed under: uncultured bacterium
Lineage: Bacteria
Description: partial 16S ribosomal RNA
Rfam family: Bacterial small subunit ribosomal RNA
Source: RNAcentral